Molecule: long non-coding RNA, 836 nt
Filed under: Sorghum bicolor (sorghum)
Lineage: Eukaryota; Viridiplantae; Streptophyta; Magnoliopsida; Poales; Poaceae
Description: long non-coding RNA (SBIC_LNC015462)
Source: RNAcentral
CCGGUUGAAAAUUGUCACAACACUUCAUGUGGUAUCUUCUUUCUUUUCGUGUCUUUCCAUCUCAAGAGACCACAAAUUGGGUGUUGGUAUUUCUUAUUAUAAUGUGCAAUAUUCUACAAGCGCACAAAAUGUCACUGUAACAUUUGCACUAGGAGUAUUGUAGGUAUCGUAUUUAUCCUCAGUGAAGUAAUGGUUAAAGAAUAUGAUAGCUAACCACAAUGUAUCUACCGACUAGUUUAGCAACUAAACCAAGUGGUGGCAAGUGAUAUACAAUGAGGUAUUCUGACACACAGAAGAUCACUAGAAAGGUAAAGUGAAAGUGUAGAUAUGUGGGAGGACAACAAGCAAGGGAGUGUAAGAAUCAUAAGUUACUUCAAAUCAAGCACAACUCUAGCAAGGGACUAUAGUGAUAUAGAUAACCAAAAAAUAGUAAGAUAGGAUGCAAUAGCAUUUUAGGGCAUAUCGCACACUAAUUAUCCAAAAUUAUUAAUUAGACUAGGAAUGCAACAAGCCCUAUGUUUUAAUAAUUAACUCUAUCAUGAUGGAAUACAAAGGAUGCACAUGGUUGUCACCACAUGCCAUCUACCAUAAACUAUCUAGAGAGUAGCCAUAAUCCAAGGUGACUAAUAGAGUAAGCACCAAACUUACAUUAUUUGAUACUACCCUAAUCUCACAUUAAAACUAGAGCGCCAACUAGUGAUGAUGAAUCCAUACUAUAAGAGCCAAUUAUAUUAAACAAGGUAGUUUUAAUUUAUAAGUAUCAUCAAAGUAUAACUAGAGUGAAGACUAUAGUACUCAUAGUAACAAGACUUGGAAGAGUAUUCAAAUAUAAAAGG